GCACUGUGUGCGUGUGUGCUGUAGAGUGCGCUAGAGGGUCAGGUGUUUGAAGAGAAAGACAGAGCCCAGCGCUUGCAGACGGAGCUGGAUGUCAGCGAGCAGGUCCAGAAGGACUUUGUCAAGCUUUCGCAGACGCUACAGGUGCAGCUGGAGCGAAUACGACAGGCGGACUCUUUGGAGCGAAUCAGACUCAUUCUCAACGACACCAACUUGACUGACAUCAACCAGCUUCCGGAUACAUGAUAGCGCGCCUGCGGGGAAAAGUGCCUCCUCCCUUCUUUCUUUCUCCAUCCCCCGAACAUGAUCGAUCUAUCGAUCGAUCCUCCUCCCUCUCCUCCUCCUCCUCCUCCUCCUCCUCGUAAGCGUCACGAAAGAAGCGAAGGCAGGUAGGAAGGAGCGAGGCUGGCCUUUUUAUGUACAUUCAGUGGUGGAGUCGUGAUGAAGAAAGAGCACUACUCAAAACAUUGCAAACGUGCAUACGGAUGGUUGGUCUUUCCUGUGGAUGUCUUGCUCCUACUGUAGAUAUGACUCUUUUAAAAACAAAAUUCUGAUUAGCUUUAAAAAAUAAUAAUACCAGAUUGGUCCAUCAUCGUUCAUCUCGUUUGUUGGUCAUCUCAUCCCUUUGAUGUGAUGGGGUUUUUUUCCCCCUCCCAACACCAGGGGCUCUCAAACUGGGGUCCAGACCUCAAGGCUUCACAGAAUACUGUAAAAAUAAUCCAACAAUAAUAAUCAAUUAUUUUCUCUCAUUUCAAGUAUAUAACCCCCGCCCCCCCAACAAAAUACAUUUGUUUAGAGGAAAAAUAUCCAGAGCAAUGCAACUUUUUUUUUCCUCUUACACAAACACUUGCCCCUCGACAUUUAGCGGCCCACAUAAUAGUUCUGCUCAAAGUCUCUCCCCGCUACCUGGUCAAGUUUGAGAAUGCCUCUUUUGCACCCUACAACAAUGACACGAGAUGGACCAAAUGGAAUUGUUGUUGCACGAGAAUCCAAUCCAAAAGGCAACACUGCUGUCUUGCAAUUUUUCUUGGAGAAACUCGUGCGACGUGAGUUUAAUUCUUCAGAUUUUACCCCCCCCCCCCUUUUUUCAGGUGAGUACAAAGGACAUCCGUGUGUGUUUGUGAAACUGCAGACCCUCCAAACUGGAACACCUUCCCAAAUUGCUCUCAUUUCACAACCCAGAGCCCGGCAUGGAAAGAUUCAAUCGUUGCCGUGGACGUUAAAUUUGUCAAAAGGCAGUCCAAAAGCCGUGCGCCACGGCGUAUUUGCCAAGGGUGUUUUUCAACAGGUGGGUACAGAAGAGGGUCACCUUGUUCGAGAAGUUCAAAGCUUGUACUUAACUGUAAUGACGCACGGAUCCCUGUAGAUGGCGGCAAUGAAUCGCUUUGGAUUCAGGUCAAAAUCUCGCCUCGUCUCAUGUUGAUUAUGAACGAGGGGACGCCAGCACGUUUGAAGUCAAGACAAGUUUCGGCACCUAGCAGGCAAGAGUAACCUAUGAUGUCAACAGUUUGUGUCGUGGGUGGUUGUCGAAAGCGUGGAAGCAUCGUGAAUGGCAAACAGAUUGUUAAAUAAAUAACAAUCACCCACUUUCAUCUUGAGUCAUGCAGCGAGUCACCGUUGCCCACUGUGCAUAUUUUCAGUUUUUGUGCACUGUCUUAGUCUUAUUUUUGUGGCUUUAUAGUUUAGCGUCACAAAGGCAUAAACACAAUGUCAGCAUUAAAGUCACUGUUUGACUUGAAAUGAUUUUUGGGACAAAAAGACCGCUUUCUGUGUUUUUCGGUCAGAGACCUUUUUUUUUUUUUUUUGGAGACCAGUCCAUGUUCUACUGUCAAAUAAGUAAAGAACGCAAAACAGGAACUCUGGGUUGAAUACAGCUGCCUGUGAAUGAGUCAAGUGUCCUGAAAUAAAAACUCCUCACCAUUUGAAGUGAA
This is a long non-coding RNA of Hippocampus comes (tiger tail seahorse), 1928 nucleotides long. RefSeq lists it as uncharacterized. NCBI's taxonomy places the organism in Eukaryota, Metazoa, Chordata, Actinopteri, Syngnathiformes, Syngnathidae. The record is from RefSeq and is a predicted model, not a curated record. The transcript is spliced from 2 exons.